This 460-nucleotide ribosomal RNA is filed under the name uncultured bacterium. RNAcentral's name for it is "partial 16S ribosomal RNA". It matches the Rfam family "Bacterial small subunit ribosomal RNA", at positions 338 to 795 of the family's 1533-position model. The record is from RNAcentral.
CCUACGGGAGGCAGCAGUGAGGCAUAUUGGUCAAUGGACGAGAGUCUGAACCAGCCAAGUAGCGUGAAGGAUGACUGCCCUAUGGGUUGUAAACUUCUUUUAUAUGGGAAUAAAAUGUUCCACGUGUGGGAUUUUGUAUGUACCCUAUGAAUAAGGAUCGGCUAACUCCGUGCCAGCCGCCGCGGUAAUACGGAGGAUCCGAGCGUUAUCCGGAUUUAUUGGGUUUUAAGGGAGCGUAGGUGGAUUUUUAAGUCAGUUGUGAAAGUUUGCGGCUCAACCGUAAAAUUGCAGUUGAAACUGGCAGUCUUGAGUACAGUAGAGGUGGGCGGAAUUCGUGGUGUAGCGGUGAAAUGCUUAGAUAUCACGAAGAACUCCGAUUGCGAAGGCAGCUCACUGGACUGCAACUGACACUGAGGCUCGAAAGUGUGGGUAUCAAACAGGAUUAGAUACCCCGGUAGUC